This 66-nucleotide transfer RNA is filed under the name Homarus gammarus (European lobster). Its description in RNAcentral is "tRNA-Arg". The record is from RNAcentral. Lineage: Eukaryota; Metazoa; Arthropoda; Malacostraca; Decapoda; Nephropidae.
GAUUAAAAAGCGAAGUAUUGCACUUAGUUUCGGCCUAAGGUUUGAUCUAAUGUAGGUCUUUAAUCU